CCCUUAGAUGUUCUGGGCCGCACGCGCGCUACGCUGAUGCAUUCAACGAGCCUAUCCUUGACCGACAGGUCCGGGUAAUCUUUGAAUCUGCAUCGUGACGGGGAUAGAUUAUUGCAAUUAUUAAUCUUCAACGAGGAAUGCCUAGUAGGCGCAAGUCAUCAGCUUGCGUCGAUUACGUCCCUGCCCUUUGUACACACCGCCCGUCGCUCCUACCGAUUGGGUGUGCUGGUGAAAUGUUCGGAUCGGCCGUUUGUCGCGGUUUCCGCGUCAUGUGGCUGAGAAGUUCAUUAAACCCUCCCACCUAGAGGAAGGAGAAGUCGUAACA
RNAcentral lists this ribosomal RNA (325 nucleotides) under uncultured eukaryote. Its description in RNAcentral is "partial 18S ribosomal RNA". It matches the Rfam family "Eukaryotic small subunit ribosomal RNA", at positions 1470 to 1796 of the family's 1831-position model. The record is from RNAcentral.